CGCGGCCUAUCAGCUUGUUGGUGAGGUAACGGCUCACCAAGGCAUCGACGGGUAGCUGGUCUGAGAGGACGAUCAGCCACACUGGGACUGAGACACGGCCCAGACUCCUACGGGAGGCAGCAGUAGGGAAUCUUGCGCAAUGGGCGAAAGCCUGACGCAGCAACGCCGCGUGGGGGAUGAAUGCCUUCGGGUUGUAAACCCCUUUCAGCAGGGACGAAAAUGACGGUACCUGCAGAAGAAGCUCCGGCCAACUACGUGCCAGCAGCCGCGGUAAUACGUAGGGAGCGAGCGUUGUCCGGAAUUAUUGGGCGUAAAGAGCUCGUAGGCGGUUCAGUAAGUCGGGUGUGAAAACUCAAGGCUCAACCUUGAGACGCCACUCGAUACUGCUGUGACUUGAGUCCGGUAGAGGAGUGUGGGAUUCCUGGUGUAGCGGUGAAAUGCGCAGAUAUCAGGAGGAACACCAGCGGCGAAGGCGGCACUCUGGGCCGGUACUGACGCUGAGGAGCGAAAGCAUGGGGAGCAAACAGGAUUAGAUACCCUGGUAGUCCACGCCGUAAACGUUGGGCACUAGGUGUGGGUCUCAACCAACGAGAUCCGCGCCGUCGCUAACGCAUUAAGUGCCCCGCCUGGGGAGUACGG
Molecule: ribosomal RNA, 639 nt
Filed under: uncultured Actinomycetes bacterium
Lineage: Bacteria; Bacillati; Actinomycetota; Actinomycetes
Description: bacterial SSU rRNA
Rfam family: Bacterial small subunit ribosomal RNA
Source: RNAcentral